This 690-nucleotide long non-coding RNA is filed under the name Gossypium barbadense (sea-island cotton). Its description in RNAcentral is "long non-coding RNA (GBAR_LNC017592)". Lineage: Eukaryota; Viridiplantae; Streptophyta; Magnoliopsida; Malvales; Malvaceae. The record is from RNAcentral.
GCUGAAAAGAGAAUACAUGAAGCAUUAAAAGUGCUAUUUUCGUGAACAUCAAAGGGCUGCUGGUUGGUAUUUUCAAGUAGCCAUUCGGCCAACAACAUGCUUGGCGUUUCCUCUCUUCAAGGCUAAGCUUUACACUACCCAAAGAAGCUGUUUUGUGUGCCAAGACGUCACUAAUGCUGCUGCUGAUCAUUAGGAUUCUCAAGGCUGAUUUAAUGAAGAGAAUUUAAGUCAUUAUCUACUAAAAACGUUGAACUCUUCCAGCCUUAGAAAUCAACUCAUUUGUUCAGCUGAAUUGGGACUUUAAGCUGCUGCCCAUUACCGUUUCCAAGGCCUAGAAUAUUUCAAAAAGCAUUGAGCUUAGUUAUUAAGAUAUUUCAGCUUAUUAAUUUAGCUCAAUUAAAUCUGUUUAUUGUGACUAUUCGGUUGGGCACUUCUUAGACUAUAAAUAGUUUGUUUGUAAUCAUUUUCGGGUUAGACAAUAUACUUUUGAAUCUUAUAUGAUAUAUGAUUACUUUGUGAGUUUGUUUUCAACUCUCAUUGUUCUCCAAAGACUCGUCUGACUUAUCAAGUAACCCUUGUGGCGUCAACCGUCUUUCUAUCCGAACUUAUCACUUUAAUCCCAAAAGUGUGGCGUUCAAGUUAUACCGAGGUUCCUAUCAUCUUUGAUAGUGGGUCAAGGUUCCAUUUUAU